GCCUGGGUGGUUCAGUCAGUUGGGUGUCUGACUUAGGCUCAGGUCACGAUCUCAUGAUUUAUGGGUUCAAGCCCCAUGUCAGGCU
This 85-nucleotide transfer RNA is filed under the name Felis catus (domestic cat). It matches the Rfam family "tRNA". Rfam says of the family: Transfer RNA (tRNA) molecules are approximately 80 nucleotides in length. Their secondary structure includes four short double-helical elements and three loops (D, anti-codon, and T loops). Lineage: Eukaryota; Metazoa; Chordata; Mammalia; Carnivora; Felidae. RNAcentral also lists the same sequence under 1 other name. The record is from Rfam by way of RNAcentral.